RNAcentral lists this unclassified non-coding RNA (340 nucleotides) under soil metagenome. Its description in RNAcentral is "partial contains 5.8S ribosomal RNA, internal transcribed spacer 2, and large subunit ribosomal RNA". The stretch from base 1 to 120 matches the Rfam family "5.8S ribosomal RNA", at positions 35 to 154 of the family's 154-position model. The record is from RNAcentral.
GAUGAAGAACGCAGCGAAAUGCGAUAAGUAGUGUGAAUUGCAGAAUUCAGUGAAUCAUCGAAUCUUUGAACGCACAUUGCGCCCUUUGGUAUUCCAAAGGGCAUGCCUGUUCGAGCGUCAUUUGUACCCUCAAGCUUUGCUUGGUGUUGGGCGUCUUGUCUCUAGCUUUGCUGGAGACUCGCCUUAAAGUAAUUGGCAGCCGGCCUACUGGUUUCGGAGCGCAGCACAAGUCGCACUCUCUAUCAGCAAAGGUCUAGCAUCCAUUAAGCCUUUUUUUCAACUUUUGACCUCGGAUCAGGUAGGGAUACCCGCUGAACUUAAGCAUAUCAAUAAGGGAGGA